AGUGAACGCUGGCGGUAGGCCUAACACAUGCAAGUCGAACGGCAGCACAGUAAGAGCUUGCUCUUACGGGUGGCGAGUGGCGGACGGGUGAGGAAUACAUCGGAAUCUACUUUUUCGUGGGGGAUAACGUAGGGAAACUUACGCUAAUACCGCAUACGACCUACGGGUGAAAGCAGGGGAUCUUCGGACCUUGCGCGAUUGAAUGAGCCGAUGUCGGAUUAGCUAGUUGGCGGGGUAAAUGCCCACCAAGGCGACGAUCCGUAGCUGGUCUGAGAGGAUGAUCAGCCACACUGGAAGUGAGACACGGUCCAGACUCCUACGGGAGGCAGCAGUGGGGAAUAUUGGACAAUGGGCGCAAGCCUGAUCCAGCCAUACCGAGUGGGUGAAGAAGGCCUUCGGGUUGUAAAGCCCUUUUGUUGGGAAAGAAAAGCAGCAGGUUAAUACCCCGCUGUUCUGACGGUACCCAAAGAAUAAGCACCGGCUAACUUCGUG
RNAcentral lists this ribosomal RNA (492 nucleotides) under uncultured bacterium. RNAcentral describes it as "partial 16S ribosomal RNA". It matches the Rfam family "Bacterial small subunit ribosomal RNA", at positions 29 to 507 of the family's 1533-position model. The record is from RNAcentral.